UGGGGAAUAUUGGACAAUGGGCGGAAGCCUGAUCCAGCAACGCCGCGUGAGGGAUGACGGCCUUCGGUUGUAAACCUCUUUCACCGAUGACGAAGCGCAAGUGACGGUAGUCGGAGAAGAAGCACCGGCCAACUACGUGCCAGCAGCCGCGGUAAUACGUAGGGUGCGAGCGUUGUCCGGAAUUAUUGGGCGUAAAGGGCUCGUAGGCGGUUUGUCGCGUCGGGAGUGAAAACACCGGGCUAACUCGGUGCUUGCUUUCGAUACGGGCAGACUAGAGGUAUGCAGGGGAGAACGGAAUUCCUGGUGUAGCGGUGAAAUGCGCAGAUAUCAGGAGGAACACCGGUGGCGAAGGCGGUUCUCUGGGCAUUACCUGACGCUGAGGAGCGAAAGUGUGGGGAGCGAACAGGAUUAGAUACCCUGGUAGUCCACACCGUAAACGUUGGGCGCUAGGUGUGGGGCCGUAUUCCAUGGGUUCCGUGCCGCAGCUAACGCAUUAAGCGCCCCGCCUGGGGAGUACC
This 518-nucleotide ribosomal RNA is filed under the name uncultured Actinomycetes bacterium. RNAcentral describes it as "bacterial SSU rRNA". It matches the Rfam family "Bacterial small subunit ribosomal RNA", at positions 355 to 884 of the family's 1533-position model. Lineage: Bacteria; Bacillati; Actinomycetota; Actinomycetes. The record is from RNAcentral.